Long non-coding RNA from Lepidothrix coronata (blue-crowned manakin), 1431 nucleotides. RefSeq lists it as uncharacterized. The transcript has 3 exons. NCBI's taxonomy places the organism in Eukaryota, Metazoa, Chordata, Aves, Passeriformes, Pipridae. The record is from RefSeq and is a predicted model, not a curated record.
UCCUUGGAAAAACUCAGCAAAGCCCUGGCUCAUUAAAGGGAGAUAGAGAGCGACAGUGACAGCCACUGUCCUGCUGCCCAUAGAGCUUUGCUGUUGUGGACAGAGAGCUGGUGAGAGUAGGGGCAGGAUGCCAUCCAGCAGUGCUCAAUGCCCUGAGACCACCAAACAGCUGCACAGCAUUUAGCCCAGGCUUGACAUCAGUUCCUGCUCACAGCUGCCAGGGGCUUGGCAAAACUCUGCUGUCACCCAUCUUCUCCCUUCCACCCGCCUGUCACUGGAGGGGUCAUAAACUGGCAUCCUUCCUUCUCCAUGAAAUGAGCAGAUGCCAGUUUUUUACUGGGUGAAGGAGGCUUCCACACCUGUUUGGGUCCAUCUCCUUCUGGUCCUUCCCAUAGGACAGAAUCCCCCAGCCCCCUGUUGCCUGUGGCAGUAGUAGGAAUCAGAAUCUCCUCUGCCACAUCCCACUCCUGCUCUCGCCUUUCUCAUUUUUCAGCACAGCUUUGCUUGAAACAGUGGCACAGCCUGCAAGCCAGGAAUGGUGGUGGAGCAAGGCCUCCUUCCCAAUUCAUCACUAAUGCAGGAACGUCAAGCCCUUUCUGGCUGCAGUGAGCACCAGAUAAAAGCUAAAAGAGGCAUCAAUAAUUAAGAACCACUCAGAGCUGGACAGACUCCAGCCAGGAUGAGGCCCCUCUUUGUGCCAGAUACUGGUAUACAUGGCCUGGGAAAUUCAUGUUGUCUGAGGGUUCCAUGAACUUGUCCCUGCUGAAUUCAAGGCUCCUCAUUCAAGUAUCCAAGCUGUGCUGCUCCAGGGCCCAUGUCAAUCAGUAAUGGAGGGCGAGCAAGACAUGUGUGACAUCCAUCACUCCAGAGCUGCCUGUUCCAGGUUUACCUGUGUCACUCUCCGAGACGGAAGAGCAGAGAAACUGCCUAGGGAAAACUGGCAAUUUUUGGUGAGGAGUUUUGAAAAAUGUGCAAAGCGUCUUCUCAGUCUCUCCUUCCCUUGAAACACAAUCUGAAGUGUUUCCAGCUUUUGAAAAACACUUUCCUUAAAUAAAACCCCCACAACUCUCCCAAUAAGGCAACAAACAAAAAAAACCUCUAAAACUUUACAUUUGAAUUAAAAUAUGUAUAUUCAUAUGUGCAGAUAUAUGAUGCACACACAGAGACAUGUAUGUGGGAGGGUUUUAGGGGGCUUUGGAGCUAGUGCCGGGCUGGUGUCCAUCCCUGCCUGUGUCACCGGACCUACCCAGUGAACAUCUGUGGCCAGGGAAGGUAAACGGGCAAGUGCUGGGGCUGAGAGUCUGGGGCCAACCUGGCAGGGGAAACAGGGGAUGACAUGGAGGCAAGAGGAGGGAGAGCCUCCUGUGCCCACCACCUUGCCCCUGCCCCUGCCGCCAGCAUGCAGCAAGUAAAUAACAAAAUGAAUAAAAG